GACGAACGCNGGCGGCGUGCUUAACACAUGCAAGUCGAACGGAGCGAAUGAAAGCUUGCUUUUAUGAGCUUAGUGGCAAACGGGUGAGUAACACGUAGGCAACCUGCCGACAGGAUGGGGACAACAUUCCGAAAGGAAUGCUAAUACCGAAUGAAGCGGAGGAGAGGCAUCUCUCUUCCGUGAAAGAUGGCCUCUAUUUAUAAGCUAUCACCUGUCGAUGGGCCUGCGUCUGAUUAGCUAGUUGGUGAGGUAACGGCUCACCAAGGCGACGAUCAGUAGCCGGUCUGAGAGGAUGAACGGCCACAUUGGGACUGAGACACGGCCCAGACUCCUACGGGAGGCAGCAGUGGGGAAUCUUCCGCAAUGGGCGCAAGCCUGACGGAGCAACGCCGCGUGAGUGGAGAAGGUCUUCGGAUCGUAAAGCUCUGUUGAUGGGGACGAACGUACGGAGUGCGAAUAGUGCUCNGUAANGACGGUACC
RNAcentral lists this ribosomal RNA (480 nucleotides) under uncultured bacterium. RNAcentral describes it as "bacterial SSU rRNA". It matches the Rfam family "Bacterial small subunit ribosomal RNA", at positions 28 to 479 of the family's 1533-position model. The record is from RNAcentral.